AACAAAUAAGCUUUAAAGCGUUUCACUUACACUGAAAAAAAACUAAGUUUAAAUAAAA
RNAcentral lists this transfer RNA (58 nucleotides) under Philodromus sp. RNAcentral's name for it is "tRNA-Val". Lineage: Eukaryota; Metazoa; Arthropoda; Arachnida; Araneae; Philodromidae. The record is from RNAcentral.